This 468-nucleotide ribosomal RNA is filed under the name uncultured bacterium. Its description in RNAcentral is "partial 16S ribosomal RNA". It matches the Rfam family "Bacterial small subunit ribosomal RNA", at positions 28 to 507 of the family's 1533-position model. The record is from RNAcentral.
GACGAACGCUGGCGGCGUGCUUAACACAUGCAAGUCGAACGGAAAGGCCCUGCUUUUGUGGGGUGCUCGAGUGGCGAACGGGUGAGUAACACGUGAGUAACCUGCCCUUGACUUUGGGAUAACUUCAGGAAACUUGGGCUAAUACCGGAUAGGAGCUUCUGCUGUAUGGUGGGGGUUGGAAAGUUUCGGCGGUUGGGGAUGGACUCGCGGCUUAUCAGCUUGUUGGUGGGGUAGUGGCUUACCAAGGCUUUGACGGGUAGCCGGCCUGAGAGGGUGACCGGCCACAUUGGGACUGAGAUACGGCCCAGACUCCUACGGGAGGCAGCAGUGGGGAAUAUUGCACAAUGGGCGGAAGCCUGAUGCAGCAACGCCGCGUGCGGGAUGACGGCCUUCGGGUUGUAAACCGCUUUCGCCUGUGACGAAGCGUGAGUGACGGUAAUGGGUAAAGAAGCACCGGCUAACUACGUG